Molecule: long non-coding RNA, 1091 nt
Filed under: Meleagris gallopavo (turkey)
Lineage: Eukaryota; Metazoa; Chordata; Aves; Galliformes; Phasianidae
Description: lncRNA (ENSMGAG00000022228.1)
Source: RNAcentral
AUGUGCGUUUCAACGUGGAGAUGCCCUGUGCCACCCCCGCAGGCUUCUCAUGGCUGUAGGGCACAGGGUGCAACCCCCUGCCCAGCCCAGAUCAAUCAGCGGAGGAACCGAAGUAAUUGCAUAAUUAGCAGAAGCUGUGCAAGAGCCAAGGGCUUAAUUAUCCCCUCCUGGGUCUACAGAGGCAUUUGCCAGCUGCUGUGGGAGGAAGAGGGAUGCGAAGGAACAAUGAAGCGUCGCACUGCUGCCAGCAACCUUCUGCUGUCCCUCCUGGUCUUGGAGCUGAUCCCUCUGGGUAAGUGAAGCUUGUGGUUGCUGAAUGCUGUGCUUGGAAUCCAACCCAUGUGCUGGCUGCUGGCUGUUUGCCAAGUAGCUGUCUGUUCUGCCGCCAUGUGGGUCUGUAGGCGUGGUGGAAUCCCCCAAAAAACUUAGCGUGUUCCCUUCCCCUCCCCAGCCCCACUUGCAAUGUGACAAAUUAUUCUCUAGAAGACCUCACCUUGCCUGGUCUUACAUCGAUGUCCCCUUCUGAAGAGGGCAGGUGGGAUGAGAGGAGGAGGAGUGUGAUGUGCGAGUGACCCCAACAGUGAUACCUGCUCCUGGUGCAUCGGAGUGGGAAGACCAUGGCAAUUUCCAGCUGUGUGUCCAAGAGGUCACAGCUGGUGACAGAUCAUCUUAUGCAGGGAUGCAUAAGGAAGCAGACAAAAGGCAAGGACGUGAACCUGAAGCCUGCAAGCUGCUUAACAGCAGAGGUAUUUCUACAACACGUGGCAGGACUCUCCCUGUGCUUUCAGCAGCAAAAUUAUUGCCUGAGUAGUGCUGUAAUGUAUGCUGUGUGGGAAAUAACUCCUCCAUGAACUGCACAACCUCUCCUGUAUUUCCAUCUGGAGAAAGUGCCAGCUUGCAGGAGGGGGAAGAGCUCAGGGCGUGUGGACAUGGGGUGUGAUGGAUGCUCCUGGUCUCCCUGGCAGCUCUGGCAGGGUGUGCGAGUACAAAACACAGAGCAAAGCUCCGUGAAAAUCGGGAUUGUUGCAGGAACGUGCUAACCCCCAGCUGCCUUUGAGGGGGCUGCAGGGGUGUUUGCUCAUGUGGCGCUC